RNAcentral lists this unclassified non-coding RNA (25 nucleotides) under Mus musculus (house mouse). RNAcentral describes it as "oocyte_clustered_small_RNA10738". The record is from RNAcentral. Lineage: Eukaryota; Metazoa; Chordata; Mammalia; Rodentia; Muridae.
UAACACACAGCCAGACUACACAAAA